Molecule: ribosomal RNA, 416 nt
Filed under: uncultured bacterium
Lineage: Bacteria
Description: bacterial SSU rRNA
Rfam family: Bacterial small subunit ribosomal RNA
Source: RNAcentral
AGUGAACGCUGGCGGCAGGCCUAACACAUGCAAGUCGAGCGGCAGCGCGUCCGACCACCCUCGGGUGGUCGGAUGGCGGCGAGCGGCGGACGGGUGAGGAAUGCAUCGGAAUCUGCCUCGUUGUGGGGGAUAACGUAGGGAAACUUACGCUAAUACCGCAUACGACCUACGGGUGAAAGUGGGGGACCUUCGGGCCUCACGCGAUGAGAUGAGCCGAUGCCGGAUUAGCUAGUUGGCGGGGUAAAGGCCCACCAAGGCGACGACCCGUAGCUGGUCUGAGAGGAUGAUCAGCCACACUGGAACUGAGACACGGUCCAGACUCCUACGGGAGGCAGCAGUGGGGAAUAUUGGACAAUGGGGGCAACCCUGAUCCAGCCAUGCCGCGUGUGUGAAGAAGGCCUGGUUGUAAGCACUUU